Molecule: long non-coding RNA, 1535 nt
Filed under: Theobroma cacao (cacao)
Lineage: Eukaryota; Viridiplantae; Streptophyta; Magnoliopsida; Malvales; Malvaceae
Description: long non-coding RNA (TCAC_LNC005841)
Source: RNAcentral
UAGAGUUGAGUACAUGGAGACAAUAAAGUAAAUCAUCAUAAACUGGGUUAUACAAUUAGAACACAUCUCGUUCAAAAUACGUAAAAAGGCUUAUGAAUCUCAUAAAAAUCUAGGCUUGUGCCAUAAAUCCAUUCUCGGGGACACCUUGGCCGAGGCAUCCUACCGAGACCGCCAAGGCUAUUAAAAUUCACAUUUCACAUAAAUCAUGUUUUUGUUUUGAAAACAUAGCCGUUCCUUGGCGUUGGCUGAGUUCCCCUUCACGUGGUGGUUUGGCGUGAAGUGAACCCUAAGCUUUACCCCAGGAGAUACCCUACGCGCCUCUCCGUUCGAGGUAAGAAUAUAAUGGGGUUUACCGUGCCCCUCUAAAAGGCUGGUCCACAGAAACCCCCUACUGCAGUGAUUAAUUAAUAUAUAAUCCACCAUAUAAUAAAACUCAAUAACAUGAUAUGGCAAUUUUGUAAUUCGUAGUUUUUCAAGGUAACCAAACAAUUCGCAUUUCAAUACAAUUGCCAACUAGCCAAUCAUGCUCGAUUUAUCAUAAGCCAGUUAAUUUAAACAAUCAAAUUGCCACAAUUAACAGUCUCCGUGUACUCUAUUUUUCAAAAUCACUAUUAAUUUCAAAACAAUUUAUAAUUUAAUUUCAUUGAAACUCAUUUAUUCAUAAAACAUGAAAAUUUAUCUUUUUAAAUUCCUUUUUCCAUAGAAUUCAUGAAAGCAUCUAAAAACCACCCUAGAUAAUUAAAAUGACAGUAAGUUUACUCACAAUGUCUAGAAUGCAGACUUUCGAAGCACUCUGUCUACUGGUCCUCGGAUGCAAUUUCCUUGCCUUUAUCGGAGGACUCACCACCUUGACACAGUACAAAAUCGAGAGUUUCACCAAGUUGGUACUAAAUCAAAAUUAAACUAAUUUAGACUACCAAUGCAUGAUAUGGAAUGCAAAAAUGCACUGGUAACUAUCUAAACCCGGUAUUGGCCUAAUUCGUCUUAUCACCCGAUUAAAUUCCUAACGGGUCCGUUUAAACUCCAAUUUAAUUCUUUUCAGUUUCUAUACCUCAAUUGCACCCAAAUUAACUUAAUGUCCCUCAGUGUGGUGCAAAUUAUCAGUCCCAACAGCAAAUUACGAAAAUACCCCUAGUGGGUAAAAAUUCGUAUUUUUGCUCCGAAAAUUCCCAUUAUUUUUCUAGGCUCAUAAUUCAUCAUUCCUUAACCAAUUCUCCUAGAAUAAAAUCAAACUCAUCCUCACUCACUACAUGGUAAAUUCAGCCAUUAAUGGUUGGGGGAGAAAAUAAAUUCUUUUCUUGUUGUUUUGUUUCUAAAUAUGCUAAACUAACUAAAAACACUAACAUAAAUUAAAAUCAAAUAAAUCCAACAACUUUCUCUCUCCUAACCCAUUUUUUCAGAAUUGAAUUCAUCAUGAAAACAUGUAAUUUAAUCAUGGAAAAUAAAGAGAAAUGCUUGGGAAUAAGAAAACUCAAGCUUAAUAGAAAAAAUCUCACCUUUUUCACUUAAUUUCCUUGAAAAUUCACACUUUUUCU